Molecule: transfer RNA, 72 nt
Filed under: Araneus ventricosus
Lineage: Eukaryota; Metazoa; Arthropoda; Arachnida; Araneae; Araneidae
Rfam family: tRNA
About the family: Transfer RNA (tRNA) molecules are approximately 80 nucleotides in length. Their secondary structure includes four short double-helical elements and three loops (D, anti-codon, and T loops).
Source: Rfam by way of RNAcentral
GACUCGGUAGCGUAACGGUAGCGCGUCUGACUCCAGAUCAGAAGGCUGCGUGUUCAAAUCACGUCCGGGUCA